AAUCCCAGCCGUGCUGCUGCAGAUGUUCUUUAGUGAUAGCAUGACUGGGGAAAAGCUAUUUCAGACAUGGAAGUGAAACUGUUUAAUCAGAGAUUGGCCUUCAGUGGUUCUGAGAAACGCUUUGUCAGCCGUAAUUCCCUGGAGGAGGACAUUGGUGUGAGGGGUUCCGUUCUUCCACUUGGAUGUUUUUGUCAAGACACCUGGCUUUUCACAUAGGAAAGAGGACAGGAGACUAAAGUGGAUGCCAAGCGUCGUUUCCACCAAGCAGAGGGAUGAGAUCUGUGUGUAAAAACUCGUCUCUCCCAGAAAGUCUGGCAAUUGCUGAGCAUGGAUUCUCUGGGGGAAUGAAUGAAAGAGCAAAGAACCCUGCACCCACCUGCAGCUAUCCUGGGAAGUGCCUCCAGUGCCCUUGUCUUUGCUGAUCUUCACAUUCCCCUACACACUCUGUACUGGAGCAACUUGCUGUCCUUCAGAAAUAAACCCUUCCACUGCCCCCCUGCAGCUUUGAUGCAUUCAGUACCAUGGGGCAGUUUUUCCAGAUGCAGCUGCCCAUGGCUACUGGCCAUGGCUCCUGCAUUGGGUGACAGAGUGGAGAGGAAGCUGAAGGAGCAGCUAUGGUCAGCCCAAAGCCUGUUCCUUGCAUUACCAACCCUUCCACUCUGCAAAUCAAAUCGUCUCGCGGAGCCUCUCACAGGCUUUGGUUUCCUUUGCUGAUGCCUUUUCAUUUCCAUGUUUGUUCUAUUCCCGUUCCCCAAUGAAGGCUUCUCCUGAGUGCUGGGAUGAAAGGCCCCAGGAUUUCCAGGACAGGAACACAGCCCUGUGGCAGAAAACUCAGCUCCAGUGCUGGUCAGGUCCAGAACAGGCAGUGCCGUCACCCUGGGUCACUCUGGUGGGUCUGUUGGAAGAGUUGAUCUCAGGCAGAAGCUCCAGCCAUUCUCAGCUGAAUGCCUUGGGCUCAGGUGCAUGAGGACAGGCCAAGUCCUUCUCUUCCCCUCCCUCCUAAGCUCACCCCGAUUUUGUGUUGUUGUUGCCUCCCCAGGUGACUGUGUUUGCUGCUGGCCAAGGAAGCCCAAGGAGGGAAAAUGUCUCCCUGGCCCUGGGGAUUGGGCAAAGGCUCAACAUGUGAGCAAGACAUGGUAUUUAUGCAGCAGAAUGAGUGUGCAACGCUGAUCGGUAGGGUGAGACGGUGAUGAUGCCCUUAGAGCCCUCACCUUGGAAAGGCAGAAGGUCUGGGCUGCAGGGAAACAUGGGUCACAGCUGCAGGAGGGAGGAGCCAUGCACAAGCAUUGCAGCUGUGCUGGGAACAAACAUUUUCUCCUCCCCAUUUCAGUCUCUGCUCCCCUUGCAGAGUCCUUGCUGGCAGCUCUGCUCUCUGAAGUCUCUGAGGGGAUUCGUGGGGGUUUCUCAGUCUUUCUCACUCCUGCAGGAUGAGUGGUCACAGCAGGCGCCUCACAUAUCUCCUCCUCACUGCCUUCCUGAGGCAGCCACUGGGCACCCUGGGGCAGAUCACCGUCACCCAGCAAGAAGGACCAGUCACACUGAAACAGGGAGACACCUUUCGAACAAACUGCACUUACCGGACCUCCACUUUUGAUGCCUUGCUCUGGUACCAGCAGAGGAAAGGCCAGGCUCCCCAGCUGGUUUCCUAUCAGGCAGGAGCUGGCUCCAAGCGGAACGGCCGUUUCACCACAUCGCUGAACCCCACAGAGAAAUCCAGCCUCCUGCAGCUGGAGGAAGUCGAAGGCUCUGACAGUGCCGUGUACCUCUGUGCUGUGUGGGACACGCUGGUGCAGGAGCUGCCUGGGCUGGGCAAAAACCUGGGGCAGGGAGGGGCUGGGGCAAUGACCCUGCUGCUCUCUGCUGGCCAUGGCCUCAGGACUGUGGGAUUGUGAGGAGAGACACCUGGAGCAGAAGAUGGGGGUCAUUCCAAUGACUGCUUCUUUUCCACUCCUGAGAAGGUUGGCAACUCAGCGGUGAGGGAUGAUGCCCAAAGAAGUGACCCUGCAGGAGAUCCCAGCCUCCCCUUCCUCUGUGACAGGGAUAGGGUCUCCUCGUUCCCUCUUCUUCUCAACCAGAGUAUCACCUUUCUCCUUGGAAAGCAUGGGCAGCACCCGAGAAGGAAGGAGCACGCGGGAGCCAAGCUUGAAUAUAGCAGAACUUUAAUGAGUCAGAAGAGGGAAACCAAGUCAAUCCAAGUGGAAGUCAGAAGUACAGGGAGCCCGGGGAGCAGCUUAGAGUCUGAGAUCUUUGGCUGUAGAGAAGUUCCCAUGUGAUUUCUGUCAAUCUGCCCCAUGGAGGAACAGGAGACAGAGGGUCCCCACCAGGCUGGUCUUCCUGGGACCUUGAUGUCAAGGGGAACCGAAGCAAACAAGGAAAAGGGAAGAAAGCCAAAACCAUUCAAUUAUCCUGGAAUUAUCCACAGCUGAUGACAUGGACAGAACUUUUGUUUCCAUCACGGAUGCCUUUUCAUUUUCACGUUUGUUCCAUGCCCAUUCCCCAAUGAAGGCUUCUUCCGAGUGCAGGGAUGAAAGGCCCCACAAUUUCCAAAGCAGGAACACAGCCCUGUCGCAGAAAACUCAGCUCCAGUGCUGGUCAGGUCCAGAACAGGCAGUGCCAUCACCCUGGGUCACUCUGGUGGGUCUGUUGGAAGUGCUGAUCUCAGGCAGAAGCUCCAGCCAUUCUCAGCCAAAUGCCUUGGGCUCAGGUGCAUGAGGACAUGACAAGUCCUUCUCUUCCCCUCCCUCCUAAGCUCACCCCGAUUAUGUCUUGGUUUUGCCUCCCCAGGUGGGUGCGUUUGCUGCUGGGUUUUGUUCCCAUCCUGCCUAACAUGGCCCUCGGGAGAAAUUCUGGACAGUUUACCCUCAUCCCCUCUCUGUGUAUGCUCUGAGCACACAAAUAAUGCCAUAGCAAUGCCUGGGCCGUGUCCAGUCCCAGAAUAUUCCAAUUCUUCUUUGCCUGGCCUGGAGUUACUCAGCAGAGUCCACAGUUGGUUGUGGUCCCAUGUGGGUUUUUUCCUUGUGUCUGUGUGAGCCGCUGAGGGGUGGGGGGUCCCAGGGCCAGGGCCCAGGGUGGGGUCAGCGGUGCCUUCUGUGUCUCCUGCAGAGCUGGGGGCAGCCUGGGCUCGCGGGUGCUGGCAGGAGCAGGUCCAAGGGCUGCCUGUCCCUGGCACGGACAGGGCUCCCCCCAGGGCGCUGCUCUCUCUCGGCAGAGCCUGGGGGGCAGAGCCUGGGGGGCACAGACCCCGAGAGGCCGCACUGGAGCAGCAGGGAGGG
Cuculus canorus (common cuckoo) is the source of this 3272-nucleotide non-coding RNA. NCBI's taxonomy places the organism in Eukaryota, Metazoa, Chordata, Aves, Cuculiformes, Cuculidae. The record is from the annotation of a RefSeq genome assembly.